CGCGUAGGCGGCUUGUACAGUCAGACGUGAAAUUCCUGGGCUCAACCUGGGGGCUGCGUUUGAUACGUGCGGGCUUGAGUUCGGAAGAGGGUCGUGGAAUUCCCAGUGUAGAGGUGAAAUUCGUAGAUAUUGGGAAGAACACCGGUGGCGAAGGCGGCGACCUGGUCCGAUACUGACGCUGAGGCGCGAAAGCGUGGGGAAGCAAACA
RNAcentral lists this ribosomal RNA (208 nucleotides) under uncultured bacterium. RNAcentral describes it as "partial 16S ribosomal RNA". It matches the Rfam family "Bacterial small subunit ribosomal RNA", at positions 568 to 774 of the family's 1533-position model. The record is from RNAcentral.